RNAcentral lists this ribosomal RNA (543 nucleotides) under Bifidobacterium longum subsp. suillum. RNAcentral describes it as "bacterial SSU rRNA". It matches the Rfam family "Bacterial small subunit ribosomal RNA", at positions 162 to 718 of the family's 1533-position model. Lineage: Bacteria; Bacillati; Actinomycetota; Actinomycetes; Bifidobacteriales; Bifidobacteriaceae. The record is from RNAcentral.
GGUAAUGCCGGAUGCUCCAGUUGAUCGCAUGGUCUUCUGGGAAAGCUUUCGCGGUAUGGGAUGGGGUCGCGUCCUAUCAGCUUGACGGCGGGGUAACGGCCCACCGUGGCUUCGACGGGUAGCCGGCCUGAGAGGGCGACCGGCCACAUUGGGACUGAGAUACGGCCCAGACUCCUACGGGAGGCAGCAGUGGGGAAUAUUGCACAAUGGGCGCAAGCCUGAUGCAGCGACGCCGCGUGAGGGAUGGAGGCCUUCGGGUUGUAAACCUCUUUUAUCGGGGAGCAAGCGAGAGUGAGUUUACCCGUUGAAUAAGCACCGGCUAACUACGUGCCAGCAGCCGCGGUAAUACGUAGGGUGCAAGCGUUAUCCGGAAUUAUUGGGCGUAAAGGGCUCGUAGGCGGUUCGUCGCGUCCGGUGUGAAAGUCCAUCGCUUAACGGUGGAUCCGCGCCGGGUACGGGCGGGCUUGAGUGCGGUAGGGGAGACUGGAAUUCCCGGUGUAACGGUGGAAUGUGUAGAUUCGAGAGAGAGACCCCCACCCCUUU